Molecule: unclassified non-coding RNA, 243 nt
Filed under: Archaeorhizomyces sp.
Lineage: Eukaryota; Fungi; Ascomycota; Archaeorhizomycetes; Archaeorhizomycetales; Archaeorhizomycetaceae
Description: partial contains small subunit ribosomal RNA, internal transcribed spacer 1, and 5.8S ribosomal RNA
Source: RNAcentral
AAGUCGUAACAAGGUUUCCGUAAGUCUACAACCAGUACCCCUAUUCAAUAUGAAUCGUAACUAACAACCUCUUAGGUAGGUGAACCUGCGGAGGGAUCAUUCCUGAAUGGCUCCGGCCUUCUACCUUCAAACCUGUGGAAGCGAACCGUGCUUCGGGGCUCUGGCCCCGCAUCCAUGCAUCAAAGUGUUUGUCCGAACCCAAAGCAAGAAUUAAAACUUUCAACAAAGGAUCUCUUGGCUCUC